This 291-nucleotide long non-coding RNA is filed under the name Mytilus galloprovincialis (Mediterranean mussel). Lineage: Eukaryota; Metazoa; Mollusca; Bivalvia; Mytilida; Mytilidae. The record is from RNAcentral.
AUUUUCUUUUACUUGCAGAACACGGUAUCCAAAAGAGAGCAUGUUAUUAUUAUUACUACAUUGGUCGAUGUUGCAGAAGGAGAUGGUGGAACAAAUACUACUGUUACAUCUGCUGGUACAGAACCAUUAGAUGUUAUUGAUUUGAAAAAUCGGAGUGCCUCUUCUUACAUUCAGUACUUUUGUAUCUUCGGAACUUUUCUUUUUUUUUCUGUUCUAUAUCAAGACUCUUUAGACACUUCUAUGUGGUUAAUUAUGUAAUAUAUUUGAAAGUGUGUUUGUCAGUGCGUCUUC